UUAUAUUAAAAUUUCUGCAUUUAAAUAUGAAUCUUAAUCCAACAUCGAGGUCGCAAACUUUUUUAUCCAUAAGAACUCUCCAAAAAAAUUACGCUACUUUAAGGAUAACC
Teleopsis dalmanni is the source of this 110-nucleotide long non-coding RNA. RefSeq lists it as uncharacterized. The transcript has 3 exons. The record is from RefSeq and is a predicted model, not a curated record. Lineage: Eukaryota; Metazoa; Arthropoda; Insecta; Diptera; Diopsidae.